CAGUCGCCGCGGUAAUACGGAGGGAGCUAGCGUUGUUCGGAAUUACUGGGCGUAAAGCGCACGUAGGCGGCUUUGUAAGUUAGAGGUGAAAGCCUGGAGCUCAACUCCAGAACUGCCUUUAAGACUGCAUUGCUUGAAUCCAGGAGAGGUGAGUGGAAUUCCGAGUGUAGAGGUGAAAUUCGUAGAUAUUCGGUAGAACACCAGUGGCGAAGGCGGCUCACUGGACUGGUAUUGACGCUGAGGUGCGAAAGCGUGGGGAGCAAACAGGAUUAGAUACCCCUGUAGUCCCUGUCUCUUAUAC
This 301-nucleotide ribosomal RNA is filed under the name uncultured bacterium. RNAcentral's name for it is "partial 16S ribosomal RNA". It matches the Rfam family "Bacterial small subunit ribosomal RNA", at positions 509 to 807 of the family's 1533-position model. The record is from RNAcentral.